This 84-nucleotide transfer RNA is filed under the name Patescibacteria group bacterium. RNAcentral describes it as "tRNA-Leu". It matches the Rfam family "tRNA". Rfam says of the family: Transfer RNA (tRNA) molecules are approximately 80 nucleotides in length. Their secondary structure includes four short double-helical elements and three loops (D, anti-codon, and T loops). Further hydrogen bonds mediate the characteristic L-shaped molecular structure. tRNAs have two regions of fundamental functional importance: the anti-codon, which is responsible for specific mRNA codon recognition, and the 3' end, to which the tRNAs corresponding amino acid is attached (by aminoacyl-tRNA synthetases). tRNAs cope with the degeneracy of the genetic code in two manners: having more than one tRNA (with a specific anti-codon) for a particular amino acid; and 'wobble' base-pairing, i.e. permitting non-standard base-pairing at the 3rd anti-codon position. The record is from RNAcentral.
GCCGGGAUGGUGGAACGGUAGACACGCUAGCUUUAGGAGCUAGUGCCGCAAGGCGUGGAGGUUCGAAUCCUCUUCCCGGUACCA